Molecule: ribosomal RNA, 424 nt
Filed under: uncultured bacterium
Lineage: Bacteria
Description: partial 16S ribosomal RNA
Rfam family: Bacterial small subunit ribosomal RNA
Source: RNAcentral
GAAUAUUGGACAAUGGGCGAAAGCCUGAUCCAGCCAUGCCGCGUGUGUGAAGAAGGUCUCGGAUUGUAAAGCACUUUAAGUUGGGAGGAAGGGCAGUAAGCGAAUACCUUGCUGUUUUGACGUUACCGACAGAAUAAGCACCGGCUAACUCUGCGCCCGCCGCCGCGGUAAUACAGAGGGUGGAAGCGGUAAUCGGAAUUACUGGGCGUAAAGCGCGCGUAGGUGGGUCGGUAAGUUGGAUGUGAAAUCCCCGGGCUCAACCUGGGAACUGCAGCCAAAACUGGCGAGCUAGAGUAGGGCAGAGGGUGGUGGAAUUUCCCGUGUAGCGGUGAAAUGCGGAGAUAUAGGAGGGAACAACAGUGGCGAAGGCGACCACCUGGGCUCAUAAUGACACUGAGGUGCGAAAGCGUGGGGAGCAAACAGG